AACACAUGCAAGUCGAACGAAGUAGCAAUACUUAGUGGCAGACGGGUGAGUAUAAUGUGGGAAUCUGCCUUUUGGUUUAGAAUAACUCGGGGAAACUUGAGCUAAUACUAGAUAAGCCCUUACGGGGAAAGCUUUAUGCGCCAAGAGAUGAGCCCGCACUUGAUUAGCUUGUUGGUGAGGUAAAAGCUCACCAAGGCAACGAUCAAUAGCUGUUCUUAGAGGAAGACCAGCCACAUUGGGACUGAGACACGGCCCAGACUCCUACGGGAGGCAGCAGUGGGGAAUCUUGCACAAUGGGGGAAACCCUGAUGCAGCGAUGCCGCGUGAGUGAAGAAGGCCUUUGGGUUGUAAAACUCUUUCGUCGGGGAAGAAAAUGACUGUACCCGAAUAAGAAGGUCCGGCUAACUUCGUGCCAGCAGCCGCGGUAAUACGAAGGGACCUAGCGUAGUUCGGAAUUACUGGGCUUAAAGAGCUCGUAGGUGGUUAAAGAAGUUGGUGGUGAAAUCCCAAGGCUUAACCUUGGAACUGCCAUCAAAACUUUUUAGCUAGAGUAUGAUAGAGGAAAGUGGAAUUUCUAGUGUAGAGGUGAAAUUCGUAGAUAUUAGAAAGAACACCAAAAGCGAAGGCAACUUUCUGGAUCAUUACUGACACUGAGGAGCGAAAGCAUGGGUAGCGAAGAGGAUUAGAUACCCUCGUAGUCCAUGCUGUAAACGAUGUGUGCCAGACGUUGGAAAUUUAAUUUUCAGUGUCGCAGCAAAAGCGUUAAGCACACCGCCUGGGGAGUACGACCGCAAGGUUAAAACUCAAAUGAAUUGACGGGGACCCGCACAAGCAGUGGAGCAUGUGGUUAAUUCGAAGAUACGCGCAGAACCUUACCAACUCUUGACAUGUUCGUCGCGACUCGUAGAGAUAUGAGUCUUCGGUUCGGCCGGACGAAACACAGGUGCUGCAUGCUGUCGUCAGCUCGUGUCGUGAGAUGUGGGUUAGUCCCGCAACGAGCGCAACCCUACGUUAGUUACUACAUCAGUUGAGUACUCUAACGACUGCAGUGAUAGCUGAGAGGCGGAUGACGUCAGGUCCCAUGCUUACGAGUGGGCUACCCCGUGCACAAUGUACUUACC
This 1121-nucleotide ribosomal RNA is filed under the name uncultured Alphaproteobacteria bacterium. RNAcentral describes it as "bacterial SSU rRNA". It matches the Rfam family "Bacterial small subunit ribosomal RNA", at positions 50 to 1240 of the family's 1533-position model. Lineage: Bacteria; Pseudomonadati; Pseudomonadota; Alphaproteobacteria. The record is from RNAcentral.